GCCCCUUAUGAUUUGGGCUACACACGUGCUACAAUGGACAAUACAAAGGGCAGCGAAACCGCGAGGUCAAGCAAAUCCCAUAAAGUUGUUCUCAGUUCGGAUUGUAGUCUGCAACUCGACUACAUGAAGCUGGAAUCGCUAGUAAUCGUAGAUCAGCAUGCUACGGUGAAUACGUUCCCGGGUCUUGUACACACCGCCCGUCACACCACGAGAGUUUGUAACACCCGAAGCCGGUGGAGUAACCUUUUAGGAGCUAGCCGUCGAAGGUGGGACAAAUGAUUGGGGUGAAGUCGUAACAAGGUAGCCGUAUCGGAAGGUGCGGCUGGAUCACCUCCUUU
RNAcentral lists this ribosomal RNA (338 nucleotides) under Staphylococcus aureus. RNAcentral's name for it is "bacterial SSU rRNA". It matches the Rfam family "Bacterial small subunit ribosomal RNA", at positions 1197 to 1533 of the family's 1533-position model. Lineage: Bacteria; Bacillati; Bacillota; Bacilli; Caryophanales; Staphylococcaceae. The record is from RNAcentral.